Molecule: long non-coding RNA, 1090 nt
Organism: Lotus japonicus
Lineage: Eukaryota; Viridiplantae; Streptophyta; Magnoliopsida; Fabales; Fabaceae
Exons: 3
Source: RefSeq, a predicted model, not a curated record
CCUGAACCCUAACUAAUAGGAGCUUCUUCACCAUCUACACUCCAUAUUCGAUUCUUCAUCUGAUUCGAUUCCAUAUUGAAAUACACUGUUCGUCGUCUUCCAUUUUUCAUAUUUCGCAGAGGAGGGACCAUUUUCAUUCAAUCUUUUCCAUCUUCCAUUUUGGUUCUCAUUCAUCGAUCAAGGAGCAAGAUGGUACCGGAUGUAACAAUCCCACAGAAACCCACAAAGGCCCCUGUUCGUCUUGAUGCUCAGGGACGAGAAAUAGAUGAACAUGGAAAUGUCGUUAAUGUAACUAAACCAAGCAACCUUAGCACAUUGAAGGUCAACAUUAGCAAACAGAAGAAAGCUCGUGCGGCCCAAAAAGGAAUAAUUUCCUGUUUGUGGAGGAGGGAAAAUUGUCAAAAGAUGUUGAAACAAUAAAGAAAAACUCAAGGAUCCAAUUCCAGAAAUUGAGUGGUGGUUUUUGAUGGCAAAGCCAAGUUCAGCUGAUAGUAAGACUAGAAGCUCUGUGCAGAUCUUUAUAGUAGUUGGUUUAUGUUGUUUCUUCUAUAUAUUGGGUGCAUGGCAGAGAAGUGGUUUUGGAAAGGGAGAUAGUAUAGCCUUGGAGAUUACCAAGAAAGGUGCAGACUAUAAUAUAGGUUCAAAUUUAAGUUUUGAUGAGGUUGAUUCAAAACCUAAGGUAUUUGAACCUUGCACUGCUCGUUAUACUGAUUACACUCCCUGCCAAGAUCAACGGCGUGCCAUGAACUUUCCUAGAGGAAACAUGGUUUAACGAGAGAGGCACUGUCCUCGUGAGGAAGAGAAGUUACAUUGUUUGAUCCCAGCACCCAAAGGGUAUGUGACUCCAUUUCCAUGGCCUAAGAGCUGUGAUUAUGUUCUGUAUUCAAACACACCCUACAAGUGUCUUACAGUUGAGAAAGCUAUUCAGAACUGGAUCCAAUACGAGGGAAAUGUGUUUAGAUUCCCUAGUACAGGUUUGCAAUAUAUUUUUAUGUUCUUGCAAUUUAAUACUUCCAUUGCAGUGUUAGUUUGGAUAUGUUAAGACUGGAUAGUCUUUAUUUUUUAUUGAUCAAUUUCAAUUGGUUAUGUU